AUUGAACGCUGGCGGCAGGCCUAACACAUGCAAGUCGAGCGGAUGAAGGGAGCUUGCUCCUGGAUUCAGCGGCGGACGGGUGAGUAAUGCCUAGGAAUCUGCCUGGUAGUGGGGGAUAACGUCCGGAAACGGGCGCUAAUACCGCAUACGUCCUGAGGGAGAAAGUGGGGGAUCUUCGGACCUCACGCUAUCAGAUGAGCCUAGGUCGGAUUAGCUAGUUGGUGGGGUAAAGGCCUACCAAGGCGACGAUCCGUAACUGGUCUGAGAGGAUGAUCAGUCACACUGGAACUGAGACACGGUCCAGACUCCUACGGGAGGCAGCAGUGGGGAAUAUUGGGCAAUGGGCGAAAGCCUGAUCCAGCCAUGCCGCGUGUGUGAAGAAGGUCUUCGGAUUGUAAAGCACUUUAAGUAGGGAGGAAGGGCAGUAAGUUAAUACCUGGCUGUUUUGACGUUACCAAAAGAAUAAGCACCGGCUAACUACGUG
This 484-nucleotide ribosomal RNA is filed under the name uncultured bacterium. RNAcentral describes it as "partial 16S ribosomal RNA". It matches the Rfam family "Bacterial small subunit ribosomal RNA", at positions 30 to 507 of the family's 1533-position model. The record is from RNAcentral.